UACGGGGGGGGUAAGCGUUGUUCGGAAUUACUGGGCGUAAAGAGCUCGUAGGCGGAUAUUUAAGUCAGGGGUGAAAUCCCGGGGCUCAACCCCGGAACUGCCUUUGAUACUGGGUAUCUCGAGUCCGAGAGAGGUGAGUGGAAUUCCGAGUGUAGAGGUGAAAUUCGUAGAUAUUCGGAGGAACACCAGUGGCGAAGGCGGCUCACUGGCUCGGUACUGACGCUGAGGUGCGAAAGCGUGGGGAGCAAACAGG
RNAcentral lists this ribosomal RNA (253 nucleotides) under uncultured bacterium. RNAcentral describes it as "partial 16S ribosomal RNA". It matches the Rfam family "Bacterial small subunit ribosomal RNA", at positions 524 to 776 of the family's 1533-position model. The record is from RNAcentral.